Molecule: ribosomal RNA, 249 nt
Filed under: uncultured Alcaligenaceae bacterium
Lineage: Bacteria; Pseudomonadati; Pseudomonadota; Betaproteobacteria; Burkholderiales; Alcaligenaceae
Description: partial 16S ribosomal RNA
Rfam family: Bacterial small subunit ribosomal RNA
Source: RNAcentral
UGGGGAAUUUUGGACAAUGGGGGAAACCCUGAUCCAGCCAUUCCGCGUGUGCGAUGAAGGCCUUCGGGUUGUAAAGCACUUUUGGCAGGAAAGAAAUCGCACGGAUUAAUACUCUGUGUGGAUGACGGUACCUGCAGAAUAAGCACCGGCUAACUACGUGCCAGCAGCCGCGGUAAUACGUAGGGGGCAAGCGUUAAUCGGAAUUACUGGGCGUAAAGCGUGCGCAGGCGGUUCGGAAAGAAAGGUGUG